This 204-nucleotide long non-coding RNA is filed under the name Hordeum vulgare. Its description in RNAcentral is "long non-coding RNA (HVUL_LNC017955)". Lineage: Eukaryota; Viridiplantae; Streptophyta; Magnoliopsida; Poales; Poaceae. The record is from RNAcentral.
GCGGUGGUGGUAGCGACAUGGCGACAUGUACUGCAACGGUGGUUUUCGGACGACGGCGAAGGCACAACAAAGUGGUUCCCAGGAUUGCUUUGCAGCACGACGGCUGUUAGACGGCGGUGUACACAGCUUGGUGAAGCAUGGCGGGGACGGAGAUGCCCGCUACAAACAAACGGCCUAGGGGCACGUCGGGCUGCUAUGUGCGAC